GUGGCGAAGGUCACGGAAGAGGGAGGAGGGUUUUUACGUAAGUGGAGUUUCGUAGGUUGCGGUACCGGUACCGGCUCGACGGUACGAAAUAAAGGUCGAGCUCCGCGGUGUGGAUCGUUGUUUAAUCCCCGGUGUCUCGAAGUUAGCCGCUAACCGCCUCGACGUUGGUAGAUAAACCAGCUCGACGUAGGUAGCUGCGGCCCGCCGCCGCUGACGUUGCGCCUCGUAUUCUCGACGUAUGUCGCCGCUCCCGCCGACGUUAGUCGACGCGGGGAGCUGUUGCCUCAACGUUGGCCGAAAACCACCUCGAUGUUCCAACCUGCAACUCUACGCUAAUAAAAACGACCUUGGCCUCCACAAAAAAAAAAUGACCUUUGUCCACCACGUCCAGUUGCUGCCACCGCUCGGCUUCUACCGCAGCGGCACGAUACUACCCGACGCAUUAAACUACCUGGCUGAAAACAAGUCUCAACGUAGACCGUUCUGCGCCACAACCUUGCUGCUGCUCUACUCCUCCCGCGUGUUGCUGAAGAUG
Molecule: ribosomal RNA, 535 nt
Filed under: Triticum aestivum (bread wheat)
Lineage: Eukaryota; Viridiplantae; Streptophyta; Magnoliopsida; Poales; Poaceae
Description: partial small subunit ribosomal RNA
Source: RNAcentral